Molecule: long non-coding RNA, 519 nt
Organism: Drosophila albomicans
Lineage: Eukaryota; Metazoa; Arthropoda; Insecta; Diptera; Drosophilidae
Exons: 3
Source: RefSeq, a predicted model, not a curated record
AAAUCAAUCGACCCUGAGAGUUGUACAUUGUAUAAAAUUUUACGGAAUAGAAAGUGCUCAAUCUCAAGUUAAAAAUGUGUUUGUGUGAAUCGUGUGAUUGCUUAGACAACUGGUGUUGUUCACUGAAGCGAAAAGUUUGGGCUUUUGGUAUUUGGACUAUCAUUUUUGGAAUUUUAGCUUUGAUUUUACAUGUAGUGCAGUAUACACUUUUCGAAAAUCGCGAUGCUCCUGCGUACAAGGAUAAUGAAUAUUAUAAAGUAACUUAUUCAUUAAAUUUUAACGGUCAUAUUUUAAUGAUUGUUCUGGCGUGCCUUACUGUGCUUGCUGGACUUCUAAUGCUAUACAGUAUUAAAGCAUCCAUCGCACCACUGUACAUGGUGACCAUAGUUGUUGGCUCAAUAUGUCCUUUCGUUUAUUUUUUUUUAGUGAUAGUGCCAAUUGUGCAAGUUUUAUUCAUAAUCAUUGGAUGUAGAUACUAUUCAAAUGUAUUAAAGUGAUAAUAUACAGAUCAUGAAUAUU